GAUGAACGCUGGCGGCGUGCCUAAUACAUGCCAGUCGAGCGAACAGACGAGGAGCUUGCUCCUCUGACGUUAGCGGCGGACGGGUGAGUAACACGUGGAUAACCUACCUAUAAGACUGGGAUAACUUCGGGAAACCGGAGCUAAUACCGGAUAAUAUAUUGAACCGCAUGGUUCAAUAGUGAAAGACGGUUUUGCUGUCACUUAUAGAUGGAUCCGCGCCGCAUUAGCUAGUUGGUAAGGUAACGGCUUACCAAGGCAACGAUGCGUAGCCGACCUGAGAGGGUGAUCGGCCACACUGGAACUGAGACACGGUCCAGACUCCUACGGGAGGCAGCAGUAGGGAAUCUUCCGCAAUGGGCGAAAGCUUGACGGAGCAACGCCGCGUGAGUGAUGAAGGUCUUCGGAUCGUAAAACUCUGUAUUAGGGAAGAACAAAUGUGUAAGUAACUAUGCACGUCUUGACGGUACCUAAUCAGAAAGCCACGGCUAACUACGUG
Molecule: ribosomal RNA, 496 nt
Filed under: uncultured bacterium
Lineage: Bacteria
Description: partial 16S ribosomal RNA
Rfam family: Bacterial small subunit ribosomal RNA
Source: RNAcentral